GACGAACGCUGGCGGCGUGCCUAAUACAUGCAAGUAGAACGCACAGUUUAUACCGUAGCUUGCUACACCAUAGACUGUGAGUUGCGAACGGGUGAGUAACGCGUAGGUAACCUGCCUGGUAGCGGGGGAUAACUAUUGGAAACGAUAGCUAAUACCGCAUAAUAUUAAUUAUUGCAUGAUAAUUAAUUGAAAGGUGCAAUUGCACCACUACCAGAUGGACCUGCGUUGUAUUAGCUAGUAGGUGAGGUAACGGCUCACCUAGGCGACGAUACAUAGCCGACCUGGGAGGGUGAUCGGCCACACUGGAACUGAGACACGGCCCAGACUCCUACGGGAGGCAGCAGUGGGGAAUCUUCGGCAAUGGACGAAAGUCUGACCAAGCAAGGCCGCGUGGGUGAAGAAGGUGUUCGGAUCUUAAAGCUCUGUUUUAGGGGAGGAACGGUUGUAAGGUUGGAAGUUCACACUGUGACGGUAUCUUACCAGAAAGGGACGGCUAACUACGUG
Molecule: ribosomal RNA, 504 nt
Filed under: uncultured bacterium
Lineage: Bacteria
Description: partial 16S ribosomal RNA
Rfam family: Bacterial small subunit ribosomal RNA
Source: RNAcentral